RNAcentral lists this ribosomal RNA (774 nucleotides) under Triticum aestivum (bread wheat). RNAcentral's name for it is "partial small subunit ribosomal RNA". Lineage: Eukaryota; Viridiplantae; Streptophyta; Magnoliopsida; Poales; Poaceae. The record is from RNAcentral.
AUGCUCCGGCUCCGAAGCUGCACCCUCACCCAGCUCCUCUCUUCUCCCUACACCUCCCAUCUCUCUCCUCUCCACCGUCUCCUCUCCGCCGCAGCCGCCUCCGCCGUUUCCCCGGCCGCCACCCCUGGCUUUGGCGCCGAGGAGUACCUCGUCUCCGCCUGCGGCUUGACCCGAGCCCAGGCCAUCAAGGCCUCCACCAAGCUCUCCCACCUCAAGUCCCCCGCCAAGACCGACGCCGUCCUCGCCUUCCUCGCCGGCAUCGGCCUCUCCGCCGCCGACGUCGCCACCGCCAUCGCCAAGGACCCGCUGUUACUCUGCGCCGGCGUGGAGAGGACCCUGGCCCCCGUCUUCGAUGGGCUCACCGGCCUCGGCCUCUCGCGCUCUGAGGUCGCGCGCAUCGCCGUGUUCGUCCCCAGCAAAUUCCGCUGCAGAUCCAUCGUCUCCGCUCUACACUACUACCUGACCCUCUUCGGCUCCAUGGACCACUUGCUCCGGUUGCUCAAACGCGGCUUCUGGCUACAUGGUUCUGACCUCGAGAGGGUGGUCAAGCCCAACGUCGCGUUCCUGCGGGAGUGCGGGCUACAGGAUUGCGACAUUGCCAAGCUGUGCAUCCGUGUGCCAAGGAUCCUCAAAAUCAACCAGCAGCGCCUCCGGCGAUGGUGGCAUGUGCCAAAGCUCUCUGUGUGCCGCAUGGCUCUGGGAUGUUGGCAAAAGCGUUGCAUGCUGUCGCAUUCUAUGACGAGGAGAAGAUCGCCACCAAGGUGGAGCACCUGA